AUUGAACGCUGGCGGCAGGCCUAACACAUGCGAGUCGAACGGUAACAGGAAGACGCUUGCUUCUUUGCUGACGAGUGGCGGACGGGUGAGUAAUGUCUGGGAAACUGCCUGAUGGAGGGGGAUAACUACUGGAAACGGUAGCUAAUACCGCAUAACGUCGCAAGACCAAAGAGGGGGACCUUCGGGCCUCUUGCCAUCGGAUGUGCCCAGAUGGGAUUAGCUAGUAGGUGGGGUAACGGCUCACCUAGGCGACGAUCCCUAGCUGGUCUGAGAGGAUGACCAGCCACACUGGAACUGAGACACGGUCCAGACUCCUACGGGAGGCAGCAGUGGGGAAUAUUGCACAAUGGGCGCAAGCCUGAUGCAGCCAUGCCGCGUGUAUGAAGAAGGCCUUCGGGUUGUAAAGUACUUUCAGCGGGGAGGAAGGGAGUAAAGUUAAUACCUUUGCUCAUUGACGUUACCCGCAGAAGAAGCACCGGCUAACUCCGUG
RNAcentral lists this ribosomal RNA (490 nucleotides) under uncultured bacterium. RNAcentral describes it as "partial 16S ribosomal RNA". It matches the Rfam family "Bacterial small subunit ribosomal RNA", at positions 30 to 507 of the family's 1533-position model. The record is from RNAcentral.